GACGGAGGCAAAGCCCUUGCUCUGUUUGAAGGAUAGUUUCGUCUGUUUGCCACACUUCCCCUCCCUCCUCUCCCUCUUUUUUCACCACCUUCCUCUGUUUCCUUCUCCUUGAAGGCGAUGAGAACUGCAGGACUGAUUACCUUAACUGCUGGGCCUUCUAUCAAAAAACUGAGCCAAAAAUGGUGGAUUUGGACAAACCCCCUGCUCAGUGCAGCACCUGUUUUCUCUAUUUAUAUUACUGAAAGGCUUCAGUAAAAUAUUAUGAAAAAUAAGAUGCCACCUGGGGACAACACUGCCUAGGCAGCGCCAGGUUUCAUGUAUAAAUGUGCUAGAUUGCUUUUCUCCCAUCAGCCUAGUCUUGAUUUGAAAUUCAUUUUUAAAAGAUAGUUUUUCCCUCCGCGAUCUCUGAUGUUUUGCUCUGUAUUUAAAAAAAAAAAAAAAAGUUUUCAGGAAUUUUAAAGCAUUGCUAUGAAGGGAAAAGUAAUUUUAACAUUUUAGUUUUUCCUCCUGUCUAAAAGAGUGGGCCAAAAGGCAAUAUCGCAGUUGUGCAGGGGGAAUAUUUGCUGGCAGUAUUUAAGGAAUUGUGGCAAAUAGAAGAAAUCGCAGAAGAACGGAUAUAAGCAAGUGUACCACACUGCAAAAAGGGGGAAAAGUGGAUUCCGUACAUCACAAACUGGUAAGCCUGGUGAUGUUGCUUAACUGAAUUCAAAAACAACGUUGUGUUGCGACUUUUGUUGAAAACCCCUUUCGUCUAUUUAUUCAGCAAAUAUUUAUUGAUGCCCAUUAUGCGUAGCAGGAACUGCCAAGAGCUGGAGAAACAAAACUAAACGAGAUGCCGUCUUGUCUGAGUUCGAAUGGAUUCCUUUCCCUCUGGUCGGGGAAGCGUAAAGUACCCAGGCGAUUAUAAACCUGUGUCUUCAGUGUUAAUCUUAGCACACUGGCUAUAAGAGGAUGUUAAAGAUGUUAGACUUUCUGGAGAAAGUUGAUAAUUCUAAUAGCAGGCGUUGAGAACAUCUGCUUUGAAUGCAGACGGAGUGAGUUUGUAAGUGCUGAGGUUUAAGAGCUGUGUCACUCUGGAUUUUCUGUGGAUUUCCCUUUUUUGGAAAUUCCGAUGGUAUUUUUAAAGGAAUGUUUGCAAUGCUAUGACAGUGAAAUUCAAGAUCUAGAGGAAAUGGAUGCUUUCUCGGCAAAAUUUAAAUUUUCAAAUGGACCCAAGAAGAGGUUGAAAACCCAGAAGACCCAUAGAACUAGAACAUGAAUUUGCAAUGUAACUUUUAAAAUACAUGCCAAAUCCAAAUAGCUUUGCAUCUGAAUUUUACGUAUCUUUCCAAAAACAGAAAAUUCUCAAGGACUAUUCUUGAGGCUAGAAAAAGAGAAUGUUUUCACUUUUUGAAACUAAGAUAAACUUACUACCCAAACCUUG
Molecule: long non-coding RNA, 1423 nt
Organism: Neofelis nebulosa (Clouded leopard)
Lineage: Eukaryota; Metazoa; Chordata; Mammalia; Carnivora; Felidae
Exons: 2
Source: RefSeq, a predicted model, not a curated record